CAACGGAUCUCUUGGCUCUCGCAUCGAUGAAGAACGCAGCGAAAUGCGAUAAGUAAUGUGAAUUGCAGAAUUCAGUGAAUCAUCGAAUCUUUGAACGCACCUUGCGCUCCUUGGUAUUCCGAGGAGCAUGCCUGUUUGAGUGUCA
RNAcentral lists this ribosomal RNA (145 nucleotides) under uncultured Entolomataceae. Its description in RNAcentral is "5.8S ribosomal RNA". It matches the Rfam family "5.8S ribosomal RNA". From Rfam's summary of the family: 5.8S ribosomal RNA (5.8S rRNA) is a component of the large subunit of the eukaryotic ribosome. It is transcribed by RNA polymerase I as part of the 45S precursor that also contains 18S and 28S rRNA. The record is from RNAcentral. Lineage: Eukaryota; Fungi; Basidiomycota; Agaricomycetes; Agaricales; Entolomataceae.